RNAcentral lists this non-coding RNA (24 nucleotides) under Mus musculus (house mouse). The record is from RNAcentral. Lineage: Eukaryota; Metazoa; Chordata; Mammalia; Rodentia; Muridae.
ACACAAAUACAAAGCCUUCCUCUC